CUCAGGACGAACGCUGGCGGCGCGCCUAACACAUGCAAGUCGAACGGAGUCAAGAGGAGCUUGCUUUUCUUGACUUAGUGGCGAACGGGUGAGUAACGCGUGAGUAACCUGCCCUGGAGUGGGAGACAACAGUUGGAAACGACUGCUAAUACCGCAUAAGCCCACGGCCCGGCAUCGGGCUGCGGGAAAAGGAUUUAUUCGCUUCAGGAUGGACUCGCGUCCAAUUAGCUAGUUGGUGAGGUAACGGCCCACCAAGGCGACGAUUGGUAGCCGGACUGAGAGGUUGAACGGCCACAUUGGGACUGAGACACGGCCCAGACUCCUACGGGAGGCAGCAGUGGGGGAUAUUGCACAAUGGGGGAAACCCUGAUACAGCGACGCCGCGUGGAGGAAGAAGGUUUUCGGAUUGUAAACUCCUGUCGUUAGGGACGAUAAUGACGGUACCUAACAAGAAAGCACCGGCUAACUACGUGCCAGCAGCCGCGGUAAAACGUAGGGUGCAAGCGUUGUCCGGAAUUACUGGGUGUAAAGGGAGCGCAGGCGGACCGGCAAGUUGGAAGUGAAAACUAUGGGCUCAACCCAUAAAUUGCUUUCAAAACUGCUGGCCUUGAGUAGUGCAGAGGUAGGUGGAAUUCCCGGUGUAGCGGUGGAAUGCGUAGAUAUCGGGAGGAACACCAGUGGCGAAGGCGACCUACUGGGCACCAACUGACGCUGAGGCUCGAAAGCAUGGGUAGCAAACAGGAUUAGAUACCCUGGUAGUCCAUGCCGUAAACGAUGAUUACUAGGUGUUGGAGGAUUGACCCCUUCAGUGCCGCAGUUAACACAAUAAGUAAUCCACCUGGGGAGUACGACCGCAAGGUUGCAACUCAAAGGAAUUGACGGA
This 883-nucleotide ribosomal RNA is filed under the name uncultured bacterium. Its description in RNAcentral is "bacterial SSU rRNA". It matches the Rfam family "Bacterial small subunit ribosomal RNA", at positions 23 to 917 of the family's 1533-position model. RNAcentral also lists the same sequence under 1 other name. The record is from RNAcentral.